This 6321-nucleotide long non-coding RNA is filed under the name Pan troglodytes (chimpanzee). RNAcentral describes it as "long non-coding RNA NONPTRT007272". Lineage: Eukaryota; Metazoa; Chordata; Mammalia; Primates; Hominidae. The record is from RNAcentral.
UCUUGCACUGUCACCUGGGCUGGAGUGCAGUGGCGCAGUCUCUGCUCACUGCAACCUCCACCUCCUGGGUUCAAGCGAUUCUCCUGCCUCAGCCUCCCAAGUAGCUGGGAUUACAGGCACCUGCCACCACACCUAGCUAAUUUUUUGUAUUUUUAGUAGAGACAGGGUUUCACUAUGUUGGCCAGGCUGGUCUCAAACUCCUGACCUCGUGAUCUGCCCGCUUCGGCCUCCCAAAGUGCUGGGAUUACAGGCAUAAGCCACCGCGCCCGGCCCCCCAAAGUCUUAUGUUUUAAACUUUUUGACAUUUCUUCUAAGAUGUCCAGAAUGCUAGUACCUGCACCUUAAUAAAUGUUUGUGAAUAAAUACAUUAUUGAAAUCUUAGGCAGGUGUGCCACAUAGCUUAAAUCUGAGACACUGUGUUCUUCAGUCAGAUCAUGCAUAUUCUUAGAAUAGUAACCUCAAAGGUUUAUACCCUUGCUACCUUUUUUAUGUUUUUUGUAGAGACAGGAUCUUGCUCUGUUUCUCAGACUUUUUGAACUCCUGGGCUUAAGCAGGCCUCCCACCUUGGCUUCCUAAAGUGCUGGGAUUACAGAUAUGAGCCACUGCGCCCAGUCGACACUGUGGCUCAUUUUAAUUCUCACGUAGUAUUUAGUUUCAUUUUGCAGUUUGAAGAAAUAGGCCCAGAGAUGUUAAAGGGGCAGGCCCAGAACUUGAAUCCAGAUCUUGUGGUGAGAAAUUCUUGUUUUACUAUCACGUUGCUUUUUAAAGCCAGCCUGCUUUUUCCAGUUGGGAGGCCUCGGGGAGAAAAGUCUGACCCAAGUGAGAAACACCUGUAAUAUCUACCAGAUGCCAGCAGGGUGUCCCAUGGUGCUGUCUUUGAUCCAUGUUCUUACCCUGUGUGCUGAGGGUUCUAGAGUAGGACUACAUCUAGUCACAGUGGCCAUGUUCCAGAGCCUGGCAGCAAGAAAGAGGGAUGCCUAGCUCCUUGGCUUUCCAGUGUGCAGUGCACAGCCAGCUCUCUCAGAGAAGCCCUGGCCCUCUUUUGACCCCUACUAUUGAGGCUGGCCCCACAGGAGGACAGCUGGUCACACAGUGGCUGGGGCCUGGCUAGCCACUCAAUGACUACACAGCAGCCCCACAAAAAAAUCAUAGAAAAGAACCUGUGAAAGGGUAAAUGUUUAAAACAUCUGCAUUUGUGUUGAUAGCUGAGUAUACACUUAAAUUUUUAUUAGUAACAGAUCCACAAAAAUGACCCACUCUAGGAAUUUUAAGUUUUAAAAGCCAAUGUGUGGUAACUUCCAGUUUCCAAUAAAAAUGUUUGCAUUACACUUAGCCUACAUAUACUAUCUCUUAGGUAUCAGUUUUUGUAUUCAGCAACCCUAGUUGGUAAUCUACAGUGUCAAAACUAUCACUUAUGUGAAAACAAAUGAGCAAAUAGCCCUUUAAAAAUUUCCUUUCCCAGUGCUCGUUACGCACUUUAUACAAAUGUCUGUAACUGUUUUAUAAUUAUUUCUUUGCAAGGCUUGGUUUCUUCAGUAGAGAAGAUUCUUAGAAGUAUCCCCAGUGACAGUACAGCUCCUGGCAUUUAGUAGGUGCUCAGUAAUUAUUUUACUGAAAUACUCAUACUUCCAUAAUAGUUCUGGGACAAUUCUAAACACAAGCCAUUUUUCUAAGGAGAGUCCACAUUAGAGAGGUCUUUGUUUUGUAUUCAAGAUGAUUAAAAUUAAUUAUGAACUGGGAAGUUAGUCCCUGGGGUGUCCUGGCUGGCCUUUGGAAAUCUUCACUACAUCUUUCUGGGUUGGAAUUCUCACCACAGCCUGAACGUGGGGCUGUAUCUGAGCUGUCUCUGAGUGCUGUCCAUUUGAUAUAUCGAGUACUGGGUGUUUACCAGGGCUCUUCAAGCCACUGGGAGAAACAGCUAAAGAGUAACCUACUGAUUUGAGAUGUGGAUUUGUGCCGCAUCCCUUUCUCCUUGUUUCCCACAGGAGUUUUAUCUCAAACUCCUAAGCCAUUUUUAAGGAGAUCACUGGAACAAACUCCAAACCUACCCUCUAAUAGUCAAGUUUACCUGAAUUUUCUCAGUUCUCUCGCGAGAAGACUAAUCACACAUUGUAGUACCAACUUGGACUCUUCAUGUGCUUUUCUUAACUGAUUAGAGUAACACCUCAGCUAAAGUGUAUAGAACAUACAUGGGGCUUCAUCAGGCUUCAGAAUCAGUUUCACUAGAUGUGCUAUGUAGGAGGCCACGGAAAAAUUACCGUAGUAGUAAAAGUUAUCAGUUCUGAUGUAAACAAUCAUUUUGUCCCAUAUUAUAAAUAAAUUGGCCUGAAAAUAUCCUUUCAUAUGUGAGGAAUAAGUAUAUGAUGCCUUUCUCCUUUAAAGUAUGAACUGCUAAAAGACAGGGAUAACGUGUAUUCUGUAUUCCAGCAGCCACAGUGUGUUUCUGGUCUUUGUACCAGGUGCUCAGGAAGUGUUUUCACUGGCUUGGGUUGACUACUUGCCAUCUGCUCUCUGAGCAUUCAUUUCUGAAUGAAAGGGGAGAAAGUGAAAGGAGAGGUGGGAAGAAAGAGGAAGCUGCAGAAAUAAGAGGAAACAGCUGGAGGAGGGAGGUGAAGUUGAGGAGGUAAGGUCAGUAAAACAAAAAGCUAGCAGAGGGCAGGGUCAGGCCCUUGGGGUAGAGGGCUAAUUAACUUAUGUCAGCUAGUUGAAUAGAGCCUUGUGUGCUUUGUUAGAGACCAAAGGUACUUCAAAGGAAAAAAAUCUAGAUUCUUCCCUGUGUACCUUAAUAAUUGUUCAUCAGGUCAAAAUCUAUCCUGUCCUCUAGGAAUUCUGGUCUUCCCUCAGGCCUAGCAGAGAGCUUUCUGCCACUACUCAGGCAACCAAGGGUGAAGUGCUUCAAGUAGUAUUUGUGGACAGCAGCAGGUAAGCUUGAUGUGUUAUUCACAGCUUAAAGAGUAGAUGCUGAGUACAGCUGUUGUCCAUGUGUAGAGCUUUUAAUAACCAGCUCAGCAGGCCCCUUCACCUGCUUUUAUGCCUGGACCAGAUGACUGAAUGUAGAACUUUAGGCACUUUUUUUUUUUUUGAGACGGAGUCUCGGUUUGUCGCCCAGGCUGGAGUGCAGUGGUGCAAUCUCGGCUCACUGCAAGCUCUGUCUCCCGGGUUCACGCCAUUCUCUUGCCUCAGCCUCCCAAGUAGCUGGGACUACAGACUCCCACCACCAUGCCCGGCUAAUUUUUAUAUUUUUUAGUAGAGACAGGGUUUCACCGUGUUAGCCAGGAUGGUCUCAAUCUCCUGACCUGGUGAUCCACCUGUCUUGGCCUCCCAAAGUGCUGGGAUUACAGGUGUGAGCCACCAGAUCCGGCCCUUUAGGCACUUUCUACUUCUCAAGGUCAAGAAACAUCCUUUAAAAAGUUAAUUCCCUUUUCUGGAGCCUAAGCCAGAUCUUAUCUAGGCCUUGUGUUGCCAUCUGUUAGCAUUGAUUUCUGGAAUGGAGCAGCUUUCUCAAAGUUUGGUCUUGCUAGUCAUGAGGUCAUGUCAGUGUCUUAGGUCACUGCUGCUCACCUUCCUUACCCAGGGAGUAUACUGCAUAGGUUUCUGAACACCUGUUUUCAUUAUUCACUGUUCCUCUCACUGCCAAGAAUGGAGGGACCCUCAGUUGAAGAUCAAAUUGACUCUGAAGAAAAACUGGAGAUGUUUCUCUUGGAGUUUGGAUAGAGUAUUCACUUGAUAACAUGUUUUUCCCCUGCCUUGCUCUUCACAAGAACAUCUGGCCAGGUAUUAACAAUUAGUAAAUUUUUUUGCAUAUGAACAGUAUUUUUCUGGUGAUGUAGAUGGGUGCACAUGACACUAAACAGCAUUGUUUAGUGUUAUCCCUCUUAACUGGUGGGUUGUAUUUGGGGUGGAGGCUAUAGCCAAUGAGAAGACAUUCACCUCUGUACUCGAGAAACUUUGUGUAGGAAUUUAGUUUAUUUUUUAAUUUUUUUUAAUUUUUUAUUUUUUACUACUUUUACUGUUAGCACAAUGCUAUAAUUGAGCUAAUCUUUGUAGUUUGGUGCAGGACCACCAAGUUUGUGUGACCCAUUACCUACUUUUUCCAUGCUCAGCCAUUACCCUGUCCUGGGGCAUCUGAGGGCAGUAAGGAACAGGUGUCCAAAGGAGGAAUGUUGGUGCCUAUGAGUAUGUUUUCCAGUUGUAUUGAAUUUCUUACUUGGUGUAUUUUUGACUUGUCUUAGUUUCUUUCCUUGUGGUCUAUGCUAUUUUACUUGCGAUUUGUUGGAUAUUCUCCCUGUCAUUAAAGAGUUGUAAAAUGGAAGUUAGUUUCUCUAUGCAAAUGCUUUAAUGGAUGAAGCUGAUAGGUUUAGCAUUGAUUUUUGCUGGUGUCUUUCAACAAGCAUGAAGGUGAUAAAUGUGUUUCCAUGGCUUUAGACUCAUUUUUGAAGUCUUGGAUUGUGUGAACAUUCUUAGAAACAAUAAAAUGUUUUAAUUAAAAGCCCUCGACUACCAGUUGAAUUCAGUGUCUACUAGGAAAAUGGGUAGAUUUAUUACAUUGUCCCUUUGCUCUCUAUGACUUUGUUCCAGUUGUCAAGGAACUUAAAUGGGUAUUCAGGAAAAAGAAUUCUUGUUUCCCUUUCCUCACCUUGCCAGUUAAAUAACUCCUGGUGACACUUCAGGUGGUAGAAUUGAAACACAAACCUGACUUCUGACCACAUGGGUCAAAGGCAAAAGGCAAAUGGCUUCAAAGCCCUUAGUGUGCUUAUCCAGUUCAGGCAGUGAGGAGAUAACCUCUGCUUUCCUCCCUGAGGAGUUUGGAGUAUUUAAGGGGGGAUGGGGGGGGUGUCACUUUGAAAAUAUGUUGCUUUUUCUCCUGAUUGUAUUGAGGCUGAUAUGGAAGGGUUAUUUCUUUCUGGCCAAUACUUUUUGGUAUUUCUAAAUAUUGCAAUCUUGAUUUUUACUAUUAAAUUUGUUAAUUGUCAGUUCUGGCUUUUUUGCAUAAAGAGUUGGUCCAUUAACUUGCCAAUUUGAAGCUUCUAACUAGAUAUUCCCUACUGAAAGUUUUGGAUUUGUUUUUAGUUUGUGGAGCAGUCUUAGCUGGGGACAGGUAAUUGACAACGGCAGAGAUACUUUUCCUAGGAUUCUAAGUCUGUAAUCCACAUCCUCAAUGUAUUCACAGGACUUUAAAAUUCUCUCCAAAUGAGGAAGGAAAUAUCCUGUUGCUUUCUAAUGUUUACUAAAAGUUGUGUUUAGAACAACAGAUUUUAAUAGGCAUCUUCCUUUGUUAUGUGUCAUAGCCCUUUGCCCGUUUACCUUAGGGCUCUUUGAAGGAGAAAUGGAUGGGAGAAAACCUGUCACUUGGCGAAAGUAAAAGGGAUAAUUAACUGGCUCAGAGCUUAUGUGCAGAGUUCCAAGCCCCAAAGUUAAUCUAGAACUACUCGAUAACACCAAUAAAAAUAUUUAUUUCACAUCUGUUAUAUAUCUGGAAAAUGUUCUAAGCAUCUUACAUAUAUUUUUCAUUAAAUCCACAGGUGACCAUUGUGAGGUAGAUAUUUUGUUCUAAUUUUCCAGAUGAGGAAGCUGAGACCCUAAAAGGCUGACCGGUUCCCUGAUGUGUUACCUGCUUCUGCUACUGAUCCAAACUGCAGAACUUCUCAUUCAUCCCCAAGGCCUCCAGGCAGUAUCCAAUGGGGAAUCAGCUCUAAAAGGAACCAGACCAACGUUUUCCAGCCCCUUCAUUCUGGUGACUGAGGGGAGGAAAGAAUGGGAGGGGGUAUUCUUGUCUAGUGGAUGGAAAGGAAACACACUGUCAAAUUACUGUAUCUCCUUGGUUUUCUAUUACAGUAGAAUUCUCCAGCCAUAUUUUUAUUGUCUAUGGGGGAAGUUGGAGAUGGUGACCUUGAUUAGAAGUGUCUGGAGGGGGAUAAAUGGAGGGGAUAAGAUUCAGUUGGUUUUGGAAAAUGUUAAAGUCUUAAAAUAAUGCGUCCAUCUGAAGAAUUUUUUCUAAAACCAGAGUUUAUAAAAAUAUCACUGAUACAGCCUGCCCCCUCAUUUCCCUGCCACAGGAGAUGUCUUGGACUAGAGACACUUGUUUAAUAAUAGCUUGUCUCUGAUAUUCCCAGUAGCUUCCCUCUGUGUGAGGAAAGGAUAGAAAUGUUCAGGACAUCAUCAUACAGGCUCCUCAUCUACAAAGUUCCAGUAGCAGUGACGCCUACACGGAAGACUUGGAACUGCAAACAGGCUGGGGUCACCUCAGUGACAUCUGACGCUGUCCAACCAGAAGUUCGAUUUUUGUUCUGGGGGUGAAGGAGGAAACAGACUGUACUAAAG